AUUGAACGCUGGCGGCAUGCCUUACACAUGCAAGUCGAACGGCAGCAUGAUCUAGCUUGCUAGAUUGAUGGCGAGUGGCGAACGGGUGAGUAAUACAUCGGAACGUGCCCUGUAGUGGGGGAUAACUAGUCGAAAGAUUAGCUAAUACCGCAUACGACCUGAGGGUGAAGUGGGGGACCGCAAGGCCUCAUGCUAUAGGAGCGGCCGAUGUCUGAUUAGCUAGUUGGUGAGGUAAAGGCUCACCAAGGCGACGAUCAGUAGCUGGUCUGAGAGGACGAUCAGCCACACUGGGACUGAGACACGGCCCAGACUCCUACGGGAGGCAGCAGUGGGGAAUUUUGGACAAUGGGCGAAAGCCUGAUCCAGCAAUGUCGCGUGUGUGAAGAAGGCCUUCGGGUUGUAAAGCACUUUUGUCCGGAAAGAAAUGGCUCUGGUUAAUACCUGGGGUCGAUGACGGUACCGGAAGAAUAAGGACCGGCUAACUACGUG
RNAcentral lists this ribosomal RNA (489 nucleotides) under uncultured bacterium. Its description in RNAcentral is "partial 16S ribosomal RNA". It matches the Rfam family "Bacterial small subunit ribosomal RNA", at positions 30 to 507 of the family's 1533-position model. The record is from RNAcentral.